Molecule: small RNA, 40 nt
Filed under: Arabidopsis thaliana (thale cress)
Lineage: Eukaryota; Viridiplantae; Streptophyta; Magnoliopsida; Brassicales; Brassicaceae
Description: ATSL029170
Source: RNAcentral
GAUCCUAUCUUCCGUCCCGAAGCCGUCCUUGAUCCAGCCC